UGACCGCUGGCGGCGUGCCUAAUACAUGCACGUCGAGCGAACGGACGAGAAGCUUGCUUUUCUGAUGUUAGCGGCGGACGGGUGAGUAACACGUGGAUAACCUACCUAUAAGACUGGGAUAACUUCGGGAAACCGGAGCUAAUACCGGAUAAUAUUUUGAACCGCAUGGUUCAAAAGUGAAAGACGGUCUUGCUGUCACUUAUAGAUGGAUCCGCGCUGCAUUAGCUAGUUGGUAAGGUAACGGCUUACCAAGGCAACGAUGCAUAGCCGACCUGAGAGGGUGAUCGGCCACACUGGAACUGAGACACGGUCCAGACUCCUACGGGAGGCAGCAGUAGGGAAUCUUCCGCAAUGGGCGAAAGCCUGACGGAGCAACGCCGCGUGAGUGAUGAAGGUCUUCGGAUCGUAAAACUCUGUUAUUAGGGAAGAACAUAUGUGUAAGUAACUGUGCACAUCUUGACGGUACCUAAUCAGAAAGCCACGGCUAACUACGUG
Molecule: ribosomal RNA, 495 nt
Filed under: uncultured bacterium
Lineage: Bacteria
Description: partial 16S ribosomal RNA
Rfam family: Bacterial small subunit ribosomal RNA
Source: RNAcentral